CUGUUUUUUUUAAGCCGUAAGGUUUAAUAUUGAAAAAUACCACUUUAUCAAAAACGGAUAUUUACGAAAAUUUCUACGAUAGUAUCUCAAGGGUCAUCGAUAUUGCCAAGAUUCUAUUCAACUGUCUGCAGUUUGCGUUCUAAUAGUUGUUAAAAUGUAUAAAAAAAAAUUAAACCUUAAAACACACCAA
RNAcentral lists this long non-coding RNA (190 nucleotides) under Polistes fuscatus (common paper wasp). RNAcentral describes it as "uncharacterized LOC122521027". Lineage: Eukaryota; Metazoa; Arthropoda; Insecta; Hymenoptera; Vespidae. The record is from RNAcentral.